GGAUUGUAGCUCAGUGGUAGAGUGCAAGCCUAGUAUGUGUGAGGCACUAGGUUUGAUUCUCAGCACCA
Molecule: transfer RNA, 68 nt
Filed under: Marmota monax (woodchuck)
Lineage: Eukaryota; Metazoa; Chordata; Mammalia; Rodentia; Sciuridae
Description: tRNA.Thr
Source: RNAcentral